Long non-coding RNA from Alosa sapidissima (American shad), 136 nucleotides. RefSeq lists it as uncharacterized. NCBI's taxonomy places the organism in Eukaryota, Metazoa, Chordata, Actinopteri, Clupeiformes, Clupeidae. The record is from RefSeq and is a predicted model, not a curated record. The transcript is spliced from 5 exons.
ACGUGACCUUACAACUUUGAUACGCGCUCCGAUACAUUGUGCCGAAGCAGAUUGCUUCGCGGAAGUGAUACGAGCUUUGGUGCCUCGGUGUCAGACUUCCCAUCCCUACUAUGUUCCCGAACGUAGCCUAUAGGCC